RNAcentral lists this long non-coding RNA (390 nucleotides) under Hordeum vulgare. RNAcentral describes it as "long non-coding RNA (HVUL_LNC014334)". Lineage: Eukaryota; Viridiplantae; Streptophyta; Magnoliopsida; Poales; Poaceae. The record is from RNAcentral.
AAGAAACUAACAGGGGCAAGGAACAAGCGGGGAGAUAGACAUGCCAUGGAAAAAAGGAGGAGUUUUUUACUAGCUCAUAGUCUCAUUCAUACACACAUAGCUUUUCACAGGCUCUUGGUACAGACUGUGGAGAGAAACAAAAAAACAGGUUCAUGCCUUCAUGGCUACAACAAAGCUGCAGCUCUUGCGCAGCUUCAACCCAGGCAGGCAGCAACACCCACAUGCAGGCACGAACCCGUCAGGCGAGCUCUCCCCAUGCAUCUCGACCGCCAAGAGAAACAUAAACUACUUACUCAAGCACAUCUCUCUCGGAUCAUGCCCCAUCUCGAUCUAGUUUUUCAUUAGUCCUUGAUGAGUUCAUGUUCAUGGUUCAUAUGCAUGGCCACAUAU